AGUGAACGCUGGCGGUAUGCCUAACACAUGCAAGUCGAACGGCAGCACAGUAAGAGCUUGCUCUUACGGGUGGCGAGUGGCGGACGGGUGAGGAAUACAUCGGAAUCUUCUUUUUCGGGGGGGAUAACGUAGGGAAACUUACGCUAAUACCGCAUACGACCUACGGGUGAAAGCAGGGGAUCUUCGGACCUUGCGCGAUUGUAUGAGCCGAUGUCGGAUUAGCUAGUUGGCGGGGUAAAGGCCCACCAAGGCGACGAUCCGUAGCUGGUCUGAGAGGAUGAUCAGCCACACUGGAACUGAGACACGGUCCAGACUCCUACGGGAGGCAGCAGUGGGGAAUAUUGGACAAUGGGCGCAAGCCUGAUCCAGCCAUACCGCGUGGGUGAAGAAGGCCUUCGGGUUGUAAAGCCCUUUUGUUGGGAAAGAAAAGCAGCAGGUUAAUACCCCGCUGUUCUGACGGUACCCAAAGAAUAAGCACCGGCUAACUUCGUG
This 492-nucleotide ribosomal RNA is filed under the name uncultured bacterium. RNAcentral's name for it is "partial 16S ribosomal RNA". It matches the Rfam family "Bacterial small subunit ribosomal RNA", at positions 29 to 507 of the family's 1533-position model. The record is from RNAcentral.